UAAACGACUCUCGGCAACGGAUAUCUCGGCUCACGCAUCGAUGAAGAACGUAGCAAAAUGCGAUACUUGGUGUGAAUUGCAGAAUCCCGUGAACCAUCGAGUUUUUGAACGCAAGUUGCGCCCGAAGCCAUCCGGCUGAGGGCACGUCUGCCUGGGCGUCACG
RNAcentral lists this ribosomal RNA (163 nucleotides) under Calopappus acerosus. Its description in RNAcentral is "5.8S ribosomal RNA". It matches the Rfam family "5.8S ribosomal RNA". From Rfam's summary of the family: 5.8S ribosomal RNA (5.8S rRNA) is a component of the large subunit of the eukaryotic ribosome. It is transcribed by RNA polymerase I as part of the 45S precursor that also contains 18S and 28S rRNA. Lineage: Eukaryota; Viridiplantae; Streptophyta; Magnoliopsida; Asterales; Asteraceae. The record is from RNAcentral.